GACACCAUAGCCAAGUGGUUACGGCGACAGAUUCGAAUCACGUAAUAUCUGUUCCUCUUCGAGGGCGUAGGUUCGAAUCCUGCUGGUGUCG
Molecule: non-coding RNA, 91 nt
Organism: Postia placenta Mad-698-R
Lineage: Eukaryota; Fungi; Basidiomycota; Agaricomycetes; Polyporales; Adustoporiaceae
Source: Rfam